This 383-nucleotide ribosomal RNA is filed under the name uncultured eukaryote. RNAcentral describes it as "partial 18S ribosomal RNA". It matches the Rfam family "Eukaryotic small subunit ribosomal RNA", at positions 592 to 976 of the family's 1831-position model. The record is from RNAcentral.
CAAUAGCGUAUAUUAAAGUUGUUGCAGUUAAAAAGCUCGUAGUUGGAUCUCUGGCAGGAGCGACCGGUCACACACUCUGUGUGUGAACUUGCGUUGUCUCUGGCCAUCCUUGGGAAGAUCCUGUUUGGCAUUAAGUUGUCGGGCAGGGGAUACCCAUCGUUUACUGUGAAAAAAUUAGAGUGUUUAAAGCAGGCUUAUGCCGUUGAAUAUAUUAGCAUGGAAUAAUAAGAUAGGACUUCGGAACUAUUUUGUUGGUUUGCGUUACGAAGUAAUGAUUAAUAGGGACAGUUGGGGGUAUUCGUAUUUCGUUGUCAGAGGUGAAGUUCUUGGAUUUCCGAAAGACGAACUACUGCGAAAGCAUUUACCAAGGAUGUUUUCAUUAA